This 304-nucleotide ribosomal RNA is filed under the name uncultured bacterium. RNAcentral describes it as "partial 16S ribosomal RNA". It matches the Rfam family "Bacterial small subunit ribosomal RNA", at positions 506 to 809 of the family's 1533-position model. The record is from RNAcentral.
CAGCAGCCGCCGCGGGAAUACGGAGGGUGCAAGCGUUAAUCGGAAUUACUGGGCGUAAAGCGCACGCAGGCGGUCUGACAAGUCAGAUGUGAAAUCCCCGGGCUUAACCUGGGAACUGCAUUUGAAACUGUCAGGCUGGAGUCUUGUAGAGGGGGGUGGAAUUCCAGGUGUAGCGGUGAAAUGCGUAGAGAUCUGGAGGAAUACCGGUGGCGAAGGCGGCCCCCUGGACAAAGACUGACGCUCAGGUGCGAAAGCGUGGGGAGCAAACAGGAUUAGAUACCCCAGUAGUCCCUGUCUCUUAUAA